GACUAAGGUUUCCAGAGGAAGGCUCGUCCGCUCUGGGUUAGUCGGGUCCUAAGCUGAGGCCGACAGGCGUAGGCGAUGGAUAACAGGUUGAUAUUCCUGUACCACCUAUAAUCGUUUUAAUCGAUGGGGGGACGCAGUAGGAUAGGCGAAGCGUGCGAUUGGAUUGCACGUCUAAGCAGUAAGGCUGAGUAUUAGGCAAAUCCGGUACUCAUUAAGGCUGAGCUGUGAUGGGGAGAAGACAUUGUGUCUUCGAGUCGUUGAUUUCACACUGCCGAGAAAAGCCUCUAGAUAGAAAAUAGGUGCCCGUACCGCAAACCGACACAGGUAGUCAAGAUGAGAAUUCUAAGGUGAGCGAGCGAACUCUCGUUAAGGAACUCGGCAAAAUGACCCCGUAACUUCGGGAGAAGGGGUGCUCUUUAGGGUUAACGCCCAGAAGAGCCGCAGUGAAUAGGCCCAAGCGACUGUUUAUCAAAAACACAGGUCUCUGCUAAACCGUAAGGUGAUGUAUAGGGGCUGACGCCUGCCCGGUGCUGGAAGGUUAAGAGGAGUGGUUAGCUUCUGCGAAGCUACGAAUCGAAGCCCCAGUAAACGGCGGCCGUAACUAUAACGGUCCUAAGGUAGCGAAAUUCCUUGUCGGGUAAGUUCCGACCCGCACGAAAGGCGUAACGAUUUGGGCACUGUCUCAACGAGAGACUCGGUGAAAUCAUAGUACCUGUGAAGAUGCAGGUUACCCGCGACAGGACGGAAAGACCCCGUGGAGCUUUACUGUAGCCUGAUAUUGAAAUUCGGCACAGCUUGUACAGGAUAGGUAGGAGCCUUUGAAACGUGAGCGCUAGCUUACGUGGAGGCGCUGGUGGGAUACUACCCUAGCUGUGUUGGCUUUCUAACCCGCACCACUUAUCGUGGUGGGAGACAGUGUCAGGCGGGCAGUUUGACUGGGGCGGUCGCCUCCUAAAAGGUAACGGAGGCGCUCAAAGGUUCCCUCAGAAUGGUUGGAAAUCAUUCAUAGAGUGUAAAGGCAUAAGGGAGCUUGACUGCGAGACCUACAAGUCGAGCAGGGUCGAAAGACGGACUUAGUGAUCCGGUGGUUCCGCAUGGAAGGGCCAUCGCUCAACGGAUAAAAGCUACCCCGGGGAUAACAGGCUUAUCUCCCCCAAGAGUUCACAUCGACGGGGAGGUUUGGCACCUCGAUGUCGGCUCAUCGCAUCCUGGGGCUGUAGUCGGUCCCAAGGGUUGGGCUGUUCGCCCAUUAAAGCGGUACGCGAGCUGGGUUCAGAACGUCGUGAGACAGUUCGGUCCCUAUCCGUCGUGGGCGUAGGAAAUUUGAGAGGAGCUGUCCUUAGUACGAGAGGACCGGGAUGGACAUACCUCUGGUGUACCAGUUGUCGUGCCAACGGCAUAGCUGGGUAGCUAUGUGUGGACGGGAUAAGUGCUGAAAGCAUCUAAGCAUGAAGCCCCCCUCAAGAUGAGAUUUCCCAACUUCGGUUAUAAGAUCCCUCAAAGAUGAUGAGGUUAAUAGGUUCGAGGUGGAAGCAUGGUGACAUGUGGAGCUGACGAAUACUAA
This 1564-nucleotide ribosomal RNA is filed under the name Staphylococcus aureus. RNAcentral describes it as "partial 23S ribosomal RNA". It matches the Rfam family "Bacterial large subunit ribosomal RNA", at positions 1343 to 2904 of the family's 2925-position model. Lineage: Bacteria; Bacillati; Bacillota; Bacilli; Caryophanales; Staphylococcaceae. The record is from RNAcentral.